This is a non-coding RNA of Drosophila suzukii, 150 nucleotides long. The record is from RefSeq and is a predicted model, not a curated record. Lineage: Eukaryota; Metazoa; Arthropoda; Insecta; Diptera; Drosophilidae.
CGCCAUGCAGUCAUUAAUGUCCUUCAUGAACUGCAUCAUAUCCUGCUGCAUCUGCUGUUUGAACAUUUCGUACUCCGUCGACAUUCCCACCUGAUGGCAAAGACUUUGGUAUGGCCCCGGUUCCGCCUACCGCUUGAAGACCACUAGCUU